AAGAAGUUAGUUAAAAUAUAACAUUAGUAUGUCAUACUAAAAUUAUUAAAUAAUAAUACAUCUUU
This 65-nucleotide transfer RNA is filed under the name Parablepharis kuhlii asiatica. RNAcentral's name for it is "tRNA-Asp". The record is from RNAcentral. Lineage: Eukaryota; Metazoa; Arthropoda; Insecta; Mantodea; Hymenopodidae.